AGUGAACGCUGGCGGUAGGCCUAACACAUGCAAGUCGAACGGCAGCACAGUAAGAGCUUGCUCUUACGGGUGGCGAGUGGCGGACGGGUGAGGAAUACAUCGGAAUCUACUUUUUCGUGGGGGAUAACGUAGGGAAACUUACGCUAAUACCGCAUACGCCCUACGGGUGAAAGCAGUGGAUCUUCUGACCUUGCGCGAUUGAAUGAGCCGAUGUCGGAUUAGCUAGUUGGCGGGGUAAAGGCCCACCAAGGCGACGAUCCGUAGCUGGUCUGAGAGGAUGGUCGGCCACACGAGAACUGAGACACGGUCCAGACUCCUACGGGAGGCAGCAGUGGGGAAUAUUGGACAAUGGGCGCAAGCAUGAUCCAGCCAUACCGAGUGGGUGAAGAAGGCCUUCGGGUUGUAAAGCCCUUUUGUUGGGAAAGAAAAGCAGCAGGUUAAUACCACGCUGUUCUGACGGUACCCAAAGAAUAAGCACCGGCUAACUUCGUG
Molecule: ribosomal RNA, 492 nt
Filed under: uncultured bacterium
Lineage: Bacteria
Description: partial 16S ribosomal RNA
Rfam family: Bacterial small subunit ribosomal RNA
Source: RNAcentral